This 7675-nucleotide long non-coding RNA is filed under the name Marmota monax (woodchuck). The record is from RNAcentral. Lineage: Eukaryota; Metazoa; Chordata; Mammalia; Rodentia; Sciuridae.
GCGCGGGCGGAGCGGCGGAGCGGCUAAUUACAAUUUAAAUAUCAGCUAAAAGGGCAUUGAAGGCAGAAAAAUAUCAAUGGCAUUUUUAAAUCACUUACAUUAUUUGAUUUUUUCCUUUUUAAACCAAUAAAUCUACAUAAAACUGUCUCUUCAUAAAUAUCUGUAAUCAUGGUAUAUUAGUAGUGACUGAUUUAUGAAAUAUGCUAUUAUUACUUGUCUCUUCAUGUAGUUAUAGACUAUGAAUGUGCUGCUUAGCACUUAGGUAUAAUUUUCAAUGAUCUCUACUUAUUUUAUUUCUCUAUGCCACUUUUUAUGCCAAGCUCCAAGUAUGUGCCUUAAUUACUCUGUGUAUCAAGGUAAGAUCCAUGUCUUAUUUCUGGAACUUUCUUUCAAGAUCUGUGCCUAAAAGAGAAUAUGUACAGAAUGAUUAUCUAGGUAGAAAAAGGAGAAAAGAAAAAAAUUCUAUCUACAAAAUAAAGUAGAUAACUCAUAUUAUUUGUAUCAUUUAGAAACCCACUUUUGUCUAAAACUACAGUGCUCCUAGUAUAUUUUAGCUUGAACUGGUUUUGAGAAACAAAAUAAAUUUUGGGGCCGGGGAGCUGGUGAUUUUUCACAAUCUCAGGAACCUAGUGAAGAAUGGUGGAAAUAAGUCAGUACCUUUCUUGUUUGAGGCAAAUCUGAUAAUUUGAUCCUUAUUUCUAUUUUUAGAAUCAUAGAUACACCUUUAUACCCACACUGAACCACUUAACUUUUUGGAAUUCUUUUGUGUUAUUAUUUCUCCUUCUUUUUCUCCUCCUCCUCCUCCUCCUCCUUCUUCUUCUUCCUCUUCUUCUUUUAUUUUUUUUAGUUGUAGUUGGUACAAUGUCUUUAUUUAUUUAUUUUUAUGUGGUGCUGAGGAUUGAACCCAGUACCUCACACAUGCAAGGCAAGUGCUCUACCACUGAGCUACAGUCCCAGCCCCAUUAUUUCUUCUUAAUAAAAUAAAAAGGGAAGAAGAAUGCUAGAAAGAUAAAUAAUUGAUUUCAUACAAUUUAUUUCUUAAGACAAAUAAUUAUUUUUUUUUUCAAAAAGUUGAAAGUUAUUAGAAAUAACCUAAGGCAAUUUUCUCUUUUGCUCAGGACAGUACACUAUAACUCCAAGUCAUCCCUCUCUAAGAAUUAGGCUGUGUGCACAUAUAUAAAAAUAUGUGUUAAAAUGCCCCAAAUGGCUUAUGAAGUUUAAAAUCCCAACAGGAGCUCAAAUCUCUCAUUUUUGUUCUUUAAAAAUACAAAAUCUGGAAUUUGUGUACUUAAAAACAUUUGCUGAACUGUAAUUUAAAUGACCAAAAGAAAAUGAAGAAACAUUGAAGGAGUUAUCUACUAUUAGUCAUAGAGAGCUAAAAUAAUGAAGACAUUACAUUAAAUGUAUUUUUCAUCAUUCUCAAAAUGUUUCAUGUUUGUUAUCAAUAUAUUAAUCAAAGUUUUUAUCCACUUAUUAACAAAUAUCUUAGUUUUUAUUUUAUUAUAGAAAUAUUAGUAAUAAUGGAAUAUUAAUAAUUUAAUGCUCAUACAUGAUAAAGUAUGAAACAUGUAUUUAAAAAGCUAUGGCUUUAGCUGGGUGCUAUGAUGCAUGGGAUCCCAGGAAGCAAGAAGUCACAAGGCCUCCCAUGUUUAACUGAGGCAAGGAAAAACAGUAUGUACUUUAGUGGAUUAGUGAGAGUCUUGAUUUUUUUUAUUUAAAACCUAUGAAGUUAUUUACAAAAGAAGGAAAAUCUGGAAUCAGCUUUCCUAGACUCACAAUGAUAGCCAAAUAUUUUUUUUUCUCAAAGAGAGAAAAACUUUGAGCCCUUUUAAAGUAUAAGUUCUCUGUAUUAUGUGUAUUUUUGCAUCAUUGUAACUUGGGGAGCAAGACCUCACACAUAAUUCCCUUUUGAAACUCAUCAGCUCUGUAGCAAAACAAGCCAGCUGGGGUCAGUAGUUCAUCACGCUGUUGUUUUUUCCCCUGCCCAGAGUGUUCAGCUGCAAUUAAAAAUUAACACCUGAGAUUAGAGUUGUAGCUCAGUGGUAGAUCACUUGCUUUGCAUGCAUGAGGCACUGGGUUUGAAACUAAGCACCACAAAAAAAUAAAUAAAUAAAGAUAUUGUAUCUAUAUACAUAUGUAAAUAAACAAACACCUGGGCACUGGCUUUGUAGGUUUGGUAAGAAGGCAGGUGAAUGCCCAAUGCCUGGCCUCCAGGUGACUGGCCUGGAAACAAGGCAAGCACCCAGGUUGACCUUGGUUUGAGAAAGGCUGUCAUCAUGUGGCCAUUGCAGAUAUUUCUCACCAGUGAGCUAAUGAGCCCAGACACACAGUUUGGUUUUACACUGUUCUGAGCUCUCUAAAUCUUCUGUAAUGAUUGUUAUUUUCUGCCUCCAUCCAGGAUGCAGGCUCACGAUAUUGAUUAACUUCAGUUGGAAGAAAAGAGUGUUCUAAUGCUGCCAUCCAGGUCCAAGUCUUCUCCAUGGCACCUGCCAGGCCUUCUGUGAGCCUCCAUGAAAGUGGGCAGUGAUACAUUGACAAAUACACAAGGGGCUGAAACACCAUUCCUGUUUGUAUAGUUUUGGGUUGAGGAGUACUAGCACAAAUGAACACACAUGACAAAAGUGGGAGAAGGGAACCUCACAUCAGCAAGAUUUUCUUUAUUCAGUAUUCAAUGGUGAAUUCAAUCAAUCACCUGGCAUGACUUAUUGGGGCAGAAAAUGGUGGUGGGUUAAAUAAGGGUCUGGGUUAUAUGUGCUUCUUUUAGGAUGGUACAGGAGGAUAAUUUCUGGAGUUCAUUUUAUUGGAUCCACUGAUCCACUAGUGUCCAACUGGAAAAUAAGCAGGAAAUAUCCUGGGGCUUAUUGCUUUGGGGUCAGCUGACCCAUUGAAGUGGGGGAUGAGGUGCCAGUCAGGCACAAGUUCCUUUUGUGUUACUUAACUCUGGCUAAGGCUUGGGAUUUUAAAUGACAAAGCUUAGGGAAAAUGUUCUUGGACUUACAUUUCACAUCCUUCCAGGAGAAGAUGACAAAUCAAGCACUCGAAAGGACAUUUUGGGACAUUUUAUUGUAUUGCCACAAGAAUUCUCUGGUUGCAAUUGUUUCUCUGUAGGCAAGAUUCUUUUGGUAUUGGCAUUCACUUUUUUAUUUUUUAUUUUUUUCCCUUGGGUCAUCAUUUGUCCAUGUGGCAAAUAAAAUCACAUCAUUUUUUUUUCAAUUUUCCAACUGGCAAGCUUGAGUUACAUUUAUUUUUUUCAGCAAUUUAGAUAUUAUUUUCUUCCCUGGGUCAUACUCAGAUUUUGGACUAAGUAUUGUGCUUUGUUGUUCCCUGAAGUCUCCAAGCAUUUGCCCAAUCAAGGACCUAUGAAUUAAACCAAAGACUCUGUGUCUAAUAGAAAAAAAAAAGUAGGCCCUAAUCUUCAUCAUGUGGGAUUAAGCCCCAAAUUCCUUAAUAAGACUCCUAUAGUGCAAGAAUUAAACAUAAGAAUCAAUAAAUGGGAUGAAAUCAAAUAAAAAGUUUCUUCUCAGGAAAAAAAAAUUGAGGUGAACAGAGAGCCUACAUUCUGGAAGAAAAUUUUUACCCCUCACACAUCAGAUAAAGCUCUAAACUCUUGGGAAUAUAAAGAACUCAAAAAGCUAAGCACCAAAAAAACCAAAUAACCCAAUCAACAAAUGGGCCAAGGACCUGAACAGACACUUCUCAGAAGAGGUUAUACAAUCAACAAAUAUAUGAAAAAAUGCUUAUCAUUUCUAGCAAUUAGAGAAAUGUAAAUCAAAACUACUCUAAGAUAUCAUCUCACUCCAGUGAGAAGGGUAGCUAUUAUGAAGACAAACAACAAUAAGUGUUGGAGAGGAUGUGGGGUAAAAGGUACACUCAAACAUUGCUGCUGGGACUGCAAAUUGGUGCAGUCCAUAUGGAAAGCAAUAUGAAGAUUCCUUGGAAAUUUGGGAAUGGAACCACCAUUUGACCCACCUAUCCGUCUUCUUGAACUAUACCCAAAGGAUUUAAAAACAGCAUACUACAGGGACACAGCCACUUCAAUGUUUAUAGCAGCACAAGUCACAAUAGUUAAACUGUGGAGCCAACCUAGAUGCCCUUCAGUGGAUGAACAGAUUAAAAAAUGUGGCAUAUAUACACAAUGGAAUUUUACUCAGCAUUAAAAGACAGUAAAAUCAUGGCAUUUGCAGGUAAAUGGAUGGCACUGGAGAAGAUAAUGCUAAGUGAAAUUAGCCAAUCCCAAAAGAACAAAUGCAGAAUGUUUUCUCUGAUAUGAGGAGGCUGACUCAUAGUGGGGUAGGGAGGGGGUAGGAAUAGAUGAAUUCUAAAUAAGGCAGAGGGGUGGGAGGGAAAUGGAGGGGGCAGGGGAUUAGCAAGGAUAGUGGUAUGUGAUAGACAUCAUCAUCCAAAGUACAUGCAUGAAGACACGAAUUGGUGUCAACAUACUUUAUAUACAACCAGAGAUAUGAAAAAUUGUGCUAUAUACAUGUAAUAAGAAUUGUAAUGCAUUCUGCUGUCAUUCAUUUUUUUUUAAAACUCAAUUAAAAAAUAAAAAUAAAUAAAUGAAUGAAUGAAGUUAAAAAAAAAACCUGGGUUGACACAGACUUGUUACUAAAAAUUUCCUUAAUGUGAAAAAAGAAUAAAUAAUAGUCUCUCAAGUCAAAGGGAACUACUGUGAUGUCUUCACUAGGCUCUCUCUUUAAAAUAGAGAAGAAAUGAUAAUUCUCUAGAAGACAACCCCUAAAUAAGAAGCAAACCAAAUUUUCAGAAUGCAAGAAGAGAUUUCAUAAAGUUCUAUCAUGGGCAUUCCUUUGUUCUUACACAUGCUGCUGAGAUAUUUGAUAUCUAGAAGCCUAUAUUUUUCUCAUCUAUAAAAUUGGCAGUUAGAUAAUGGCUUAAUGGGGGAUAUUCAUAUAAGUAGGUGCUGUGCUUCCACAGCUGACAAACACCUUGAAGAUAAUGUUUAACUAUUAUCUGACACACUAUCAAUUUUCUUUCAGAAUCUUAUAACCUUCUCAUCACGGGCACUUCUUAUGCUCGAAUUCGGGACCCCCAAAAGACCACCAGAGACCAAGAUCGAUGUAAACAGCAAAGAGGUGUUUAUUAUGAGCUAGCUUGGUCCUCCACGCACACACACAGCAACUGGUGACGCUAAGAGGCCCCAAGCCCAGGGUUUGCAGCAGUUUUAUACAUUCUUUGGAGAAGUCAGGGACCCCCACAUACAUCAUAGCAUCUCUUAGCAAAUCUUCACACACCGUGGGAAAAUCAAAUAACAAAAUAAAUAACAUGAUUAGCACAUUCACUGGUGGAAACAAGUUGGGUAGGGGUGAUUGGUUACAAGAGGGGGAUUCAUUUGAACUGAAUUGGUUUAAGUCAAGAGGGGUGUUCAUGCUGAACUACAUGGUUUCCCAACACAUUAUCAACCACCAUAAACUACUGGGAGGGUCAUCUGGCAUCCCAGGUAUUUCCCUGUCUCAUGCUGAUUGGUGGCUACUAGGGGGUUGCUAUGGAUCCCCACCUAGCCUGAGUCAGGGACACCUGGUGUAGAAUAUCUCUCCUGUUAUUUGUAGAUAAACAACUUGGCAGGGUGGGAAUGUGCCUAGGAGUGCUCUGUGGGUCUUUCUAAGGACAAAGGUGAUGUCCCUUCCUUGGACAGGCUUUGCUCUGAGAUAGAGGCUGGUUUUUCACACUGAUGUCACUCAUAUGCCAAAUACAAUAUGUCAGAUCUUCCUUUUCUUAAAUCCAGAUUCCAAUUCUCUGAUGUUUCAUGGUACUGUAAGUAACUAUAUGUCCCACCUUGGUCUCCCUAUUUUCUAUGCCCUCUACUAAAAAAAAAAUCUGUUGUAUGUCUUUAUAGCCAAAGUCCCUCUAUGUUUCAAAAAUGUAAGAUUGAAGACGAUUACAUUCCUCUGUAUCAGCCUGUUCUAUAAUUAAUAAACCCUGAUUAAACUUCUCAUAUAUUCAAUAUCAACAUAUAUUUUUACAUGUAAAGGGAUAUUGAGAUAAAUUAUAGCUGGUAUUUGUCUUUGAGGUAAAUUUAAAGAAUAAGGUAAAUAAGAUCUUUUCCAUAAGUUUUUGUCAUUUAAAAUCAGCUAAAGCAAAGAAACACAAAAGAACUUGUACCUGACUGGCACCUGACCGCUUUCCCUCCUCCCUCCCCCUAAUGCUAAUGCUUCACCUAACCUUAAUACUAGAAACUCAGGUGACCUAUAGCUCUCAAAUUGUAAUGUGGGUACCGUGAACUCAGAUAUGAUGGAAAGGCUCAAACUUGAGGUUAUGACAUUAUAUUAGUCACAUAAAUGUAGUAUUCUGUAUAUGCUGGGUUAAACAUAACCCAGCAUUAAUGUCAAUUUCAACUCUUUCUUUUUAUGUUAUUAAUGUAUAUACUGGAAAUACUUAAAAUGCCCUUGUGCCUUAUGUGUUGUUUUCAUUGGGCAUUGUUGCUUUAGGGACUUGCUUCCCAGUUCAAAGUUUAAUCUGUCACCUAAAAAGAACAGAGAUCAGAAAAAGUUAAAUAAAAUUUUAUAACGAUUUUCAUUAUUAUUUUUUCAUUCCUGAAUAAUAUACAAACAUAUUUAAUCCAUAAAUUUAAAUUACCUUAUAUAUGUAAGUUUAAAUGAAAAUGUUCUGCUGGUUGGGCUAGAUCCCACUUCUGGAAGGAAACCUAGACUUAAAAUAGCAGUCUGAGUCUCUGGGUUCUGGGGUACAUUUGGAAAAAAAAUAGCUACACCCAAGAACCUGUCAUUCUAACAGUAUUCAUGCCUGGAUUGGAUAAUAUUUCCUGUCACUCAGAAAGAAGGCUCACUGGUCUCAGAUUCACAGGGCAUGGUCUGAAGCCUUGUCCAAUCAAGAGUACUUAGUGAGAACUAUCCAAUCCUGAGUGUCAGCAGGGAGGAAGUGGUGGGCUUCCUGAUCACUCCUUUUCUCCUGAGUCCUCCAUUUCUGCCAUUUGGCUGGACUUGGGUCUCAUGCUUUGAGUACCAGGUUGCUCUGCUGUGCAGGUGCUGAAGAUCCCUAGGGAUCAGGCCUGACUCCCGAGCAUCAGGAAAUGGUGAGUGUGCAGUGGCCUGGGGAGGAAGGCUGGAGGAGAAAGACUUUUGGAACCAUGAGACUGGCUCUGGCAGGAACAGAAGCUAGCAGAUUUGAACUCUGGGCAAUCUCUGGAGUCUGCAGGCCCAAGCCCUCCUCUGGGGCAGUAUGCCCUCAGUCAUAUUGGCCAUUCCAAGUGGGGAAUAUGUCAGUGGCAGAGGCUCUUUGCUACCUACCUUAUCCUCAAAGUGGAUCCUCAGCCCCUGCCUGAAAUACUGUGUGGUAAAGUCUUCCCAGAUGCUGGUGAUUGAUAGGUGGAAUGAUUCUCAUAAUCAAAUAUCUUUAGGCCAUUUUCCUGCAGGAGAGCAAAUGUUGUCUAUAGAGACAUCAUAUCUUCCUGAGCUAAGCUAAUUUUCAUUUUCACUUUCUUUCAUCCUUACCUUGUUUUUAUUAUUAUUAUUAUUAUUAUUAUUAUUAAUGCUAGUUGAACUGAGGGAUACAUUACUACUGGACUAUAUCCUCAGUAUGUUUAUACUUAUUUUGAGACGGGUUCUAGCUAAGUUGCUGAGAUUGUCCUUGUUAUGUUUUGAUUUAUCUAAACUUUGCUAUUGAAAUAUAUAUAUAUAUAUAUAUAUAUAUAUAUAUAUAUAUA